CUGUUCGUAGAAUUGAGAGAUGGUUGGCAUCUCCCCCGACAGGGACGGGAACAGCCUUCGAGCUUUACUGUUAUUAGAAACUGUACUAUAAGUCCUUCACUUUUU
This 105-nucleotide non-coding RNA is filed under the name Solanum tuberosum (potato). The record is from RNAcentral. Lineage: Eukaryota; Viridiplantae; Streptophyta; Magnoliopsida; Solanales; Solanaceae.